Acinonyx jubatus (cheetah) is the source of this 452-nucleotide long non-coding RNA. RefSeq lists it as uncharacterized. The transcript has 3 exons. The record is from RefSeq and is a predicted model, not a curated record. NCBI's taxonomy places the organism in Eukaryota, Metazoa, Chordata, Mammalia, Carnivora, Felidae.
CCUUACCUACACCCGCUACGCUCAUUGGGCAUCACUGCCAGACCCCACAACUAAUACGGUUUCCUAUUGGUUAACUCCGGCACCGGCCUCGGGGCCUAGCGUUGGACGGUCAGCCGGAGGGACCAAGAACUGCCGGCGGCCGAGCUGGUGUAGCGCUGGCGCCGCCGCCUGCCCCGGGGGGGAACUGCAGCCUGUCCGAGCCAGUUCACUCAUAAAGGCUUUUCUGGGCUAGAUGCUGGGGAGGUGAGGAGUGAGACACACUGAUGAAGAGGACAGUACAAAGCACUGUGAAUGUGAGCUCCUCCCAGGUGAAGAUCUGGUUUAUGUCCUUCAGUGACUAGAACAGUUGCCUGGCACCUAUCAAAAGCUCAAGACCUGUUAAGCAUGACUGAAGUUUGAUGUUUGCUCAUAGUGUGAGUGUGCCUGAUGCCACUCAGUUGUACGCUUAAAAG